GCGAGGAGGAGAAGAAGGAGAAGAAGGAGGAGGUGGAAGAGGAAGGGGAAUCUCCCAGCGAGGGCAUCGCCAACACCCCACAUCUCUCCUCGCCGGCGGUGGGGAAGGCAUCACAGCGGCACCCGCGGCCAUUUCAGCAUCCUCCUGGCAGCACCUCUGCUGCGGGCUCGGCUCGGCCACAAGGCUGGGGCCAGUGGAAGCCAGCCCCGAGCCAGCCCUGCUCCCUGCCCUGGCUGUUCUUGGACCCCGGCACCCCCAGGACAUGGUCCUGCUUCCCAUGGUGUGGCUGACUCCCCCAAAUCAGUGGGUGGGAGCAUGGAGCUGGUGUGGCCGGUGCCGCUGCAAGGAGCAAGGGGUGAUGGAGGGGGCUGCGAGCUGACAAAACACAAGGCUUUGGGGUGGAGGGUGAGGGACCCCGAGGGGGUGGGCUGGGGGUCAUUUGCCCCAAGCCCAGGGACCCUGUAAAUCACUUAGUGUUUGAUGGCAGAGUGUGGCCCUGCCUGUGCCCCCCACACCCCGUAUUAUCCUCUCGCUCCCUCCUGCAAUCCAUUCCAGCGCGGGGGAUUAGGUGGGUUUAGGGCCGGGUUUGAGUCAGAAAUGGGAUGCUUUCAAAUCAGCCUGCGUCAGUUGUGCCCUCUGUCACUCAUGCGGAGGGGGAUUAAAAUAGAUAUGAAGAUUAUCGGAGGGGAAAUGGCACCCCCACCUUGAGGGCCCGACUUUCCCCCCCCAGCCUCAGCACUGCUGCAUGUGGGGGCAUCACCCAGCGCAGGGGCUGCCUGGCUCAGACCCCCCCGGGAUACCUUCAGCCCCAAGGGCACAAAUUUCUCCUUUUUCCUUGCCUUUCUGCUCACACCGAGGCCCCAGUUCCAAUCCCCAUCCCAUACAGCUCUCCAAACAUCUUUCUUACAUGGGAUGGGGGGGAGACAUCACCUCAGCAGCUCUCAUCACCAGCUCCCUUGUUUCCAGCCCAAUCCCAUUCCCAAAACACCCCUCAGGCUCAAUGCCGGUCCUGCAUGAGAUCCUUGCCCGGAUCCCACGGAGGGCUCCCGGCCCCAGAGAGCCACCGGCCCCUCGGCAGGGCUGGGGUGCGGACAUGGCUGCUGCAACGUGGAGGGUGAGAAGGAAUUGAUGGGGAGACGGCAGCACCGAGGAGAUGGCUCAGCACCGAAAUGUGCAGGUCCUCACGGGCCAGCACUGCUGCCUGGGCUGGGUCUCCUCGCCGGCCCAGCAGUGGUUCAGGCAAGCGCUGCUCAUCGGUGUUU
Long non-coding RNA from Aquila chrysaetos chrysaetos, 1262 nucleotides. RefSeq lists it as uncharacterized. Lineage: Eukaryota; Metazoa; Chordata; Aves; Accipitriformes; Accipitridae. The record is from RefSeq and is a predicted model, not a curated record. The transcript has 2 exons.